UCGUGAGGACGCCGGCUACAAUCGGCGACAAAAAACUUGCGGUCAUGUGAAUUGUUUGAGCAAAGGCGAGAACUGGACCUGAAAAUAUGAAAGUAAUAGAGGGUGUGUUUGGAGAAAUGAUUGCGGCAGUUGAAAUUUUUUAAUAAAUUUAUUUUCCUACCGGCCAGAUUCGGCGCAAGGUCGACGAUGUUUGCCAUGGCACCGGCAUAAGCUGCUGUGAUUAAAGUUACCGCUGUGAACCAUACGAGCAAUACAAGAACUAUAUCACAACCCAAGUAUCCGACCAAAAGUAAGAGAAUGCCGGGAACGACUUGAGCUGUGAGAAAGAAGAAAAAAUCAUUUCGUCAUAAAGUUGGCAGUUAAUUUUCCGGAACGUUCGCUUACCUUGGAAUGAUGACAUGAAUCUGGAACGUUCAGCAGGGGGUAUCCAAUGACCGACUAUCGCGUACAUCGCUGGCCACGUUAAACCCUAGAUGAGAGAAAGAAAAUACGAAAAAAGCGUAAAACAAACUGGGAUAAAUUUAUUUUCUGGAAAGAAAAGGUAGGCAGACGAGAGUCGAAACAAAGCCUCAAUGAAAUUUCAAUCAUAUCAGAUUGAUUGAGUAAUCGUCGAAAUAAUCAAUUAUGAACAUAGGAAUAUAAAGCUGAUCUUUCUUGCAAGUGAAAAAUAACAAAAUGAGAAGAAAAAAAAAUGAAAACCAGAUAAAUUUAGAAUCUAAAUAAUUAUAAUCUUACGCUAGCGGCGCCUUGGAUGCUCCUGAGAGUAAUCAUGGCACCGUAAUGUAGAUCGGCAGCAGUUGGCAUCAGGAGACUACAAAUGGCGGUGAGAAGUUGAGAAA
Athalia rosae (coleseed sawfly) is the source of this 839-nucleotide long non-coding RNA. RefSeq lists it as uncharacterized. NCBI's taxonomy places the organism in Eukaryota, Metazoa, Arthropoda, Insecta, Hymenoptera, Athaliidae. The record is from RefSeq and is a predicted model, not a curated record. The transcript is spliced from 2 exons.